Molecule: long non-coding RNA, 1344 nt
Organism: Marmota monax (woodchuck)
Lineage: Eukaryota; Metazoa; Chordata; Mammalia; Rodentia; Sciuridae
Exons: 3
Source: RefSeq, a predicted model, not a curated record
UGAAGUUGGAGGAGAGGAAGAGGAAGGGAGGGAGGGAGAGACUCAGCUCAUGCCUGCACAGAAGGGUUCACACCCAGGGCUGGAAUGGCAUGACCCAGGAGGCAGUGAGGCAAAGCUCAUCACAGAAGCAGAACUAGCCCGGAGCAGGUUCAUAUCAUGGGAGUGGUUUCCUUGUAUGUGCCCCACUCUUGAUCUCUCUGGCCCACUCUUGCCCUUCUGCCUUCUGCCAUGAGAUGGCACAGCAAGAAGGGACCGGGAGGGAGUGUUCAGGAAAGAUCGAUCCUAUGAAAGAGUAACAAAAGUGAAAUAACCUCAGCCUGUAAGAAUAAAGAACACUAUCAUGAAGAUUGGCCACUGUGGAAAAUCAUACUAGACCUACAACCAGGUGAAUUUUUUGUGUGAUGUUUGAUUUUUAGUGAUAUUUUUUCAAUGCCUAUAUAAAAAAGAUUAUUUAGGGAAUAGGCCCAAAUAUUACCGUGUUUUCUACCUUCUCUACAUGUCUCUUAUGGAAGUCUUGACCCCAACAUGUCUUAUUGCAACUUAAAAGGGCUAAUUAAUACAGAAUGCAACCAUUUCAUCUAGGGCACAGCCCUCAAAUUUAUAAAACUUAAAAGUUAAAAUUACUUAGUGCUGUUGAUCUCACACACUUCUUUUUUCUAAGAAUAAUUUAUGAUUACACAUUAUACCCUAUUUUUUCAUUUCCUCAAAAAAAAAUCUUGCUUGAUUUUGAACUUUGAAGACAGUGGGAAAGCAUUGACGCAUCUUUUCCAAUCACAGUCAAUUGAAUCCAUCUCUCUUUAUUUUUUAUGCAUCAGGCAUUCCUUAACUUAUGCAAAAAUUAUGAUUUUAAAAAAAUUUUUGUGCAUGUGUUCUAUGUCCCACUUUUUUUUAUAUCAAAUUCUGACUGGCAGGUACAUAGAAUGGUGCUGACUGCAUGCAUAGGCUGGCUGUCCAAAGCAAUUUCCAUAUAAUGCUUUCCCAUAGCAUUCCAUCUUGGCAUAGUGCUAGCAAGUAAAAAGUGGAUUUAUAAUGACUAUUAAUGUCAUUUGAGGAGAGAAGUCAGUGUCCAUGCAAAUGAGAGAUUAAUGCUCAUCCCUAAAUGAAGUGUUGGUAUAGCCAAAUGCCGAGACAGCAAUGCCUUGCAGCCUGUUUAAAAGGCAUUUCAAUCAUAAGAUGAUAAAUUCCCUCACGUUGGCUCAGACAACCCCAGCAAAGCAAAAAUGGUCAUUCGUCCAAAAGGAUAGAGCAAUUUGGGAAUGUGUAAACAUUUUGUUUAGCUUCCAAGAGAAAAGUAUAUGCUAUUGUACUUGCAUCUUUAAGCAAAAAUGUGACCCCCAUCUCUAG